RNAcentral lists this ribosomal RNA (537 nucleotides) under uncultured methanogenic archaeon. Its description in RNAcentral is "bacterial SSU rRNA". It matches the Rfam family "Archaeal small subunit ribosomal RNA", at positions 106 to 645 of the family's 1478-position model. The record is from RNAcentral. Lineage: Archaea; Methanobacteriati; Methanobacteriota.
AACGUGCCCUUAGGAGGAGGAUAAUCUCGGGAAAUUGAGGAUAAUACUCCAUAGGUCACGGGGUCUGGAACGACCCGUGGCCGAAAGCCCCGGCGCCUAAGGAUCGCUCUGCGGCUUAUCAGGUCGUAGUGGGUGUAACGUACCCCCUAGCCGACGACGAGUAUGGUCCUUGAGAGAGGGAGCCCAGAGUUGGAUUCUGAGACACGAAUCCAGGCCCUACGGGGCGCAGCAGUCGCGAAAACUUCACACUGGGGGCAACUCUUUUUGAGGGAAUUCCUAGUGCCAGGGCCUCUGGUCCUGGCUUUUCUCCGGCGUAGACGACCGGAGGAAUAAGGGCUGGGUAAGACGGGUGCCAGCCGCCGCGGUAAUACCUGCAGCCCGAGUGGUGGUCGAUUUUAUUGAGUCUAAAACGUUCGUAGCCGGCCCGGUAAUCCCUGGGUAAAUCGGGAAGCUCAACUUCCCGAAUUCCGGGAGACUGCCGGGCUUGGGACCGGGAGAGGCUAGAGGUACUUCUGGGGUAGGGGUAAAAUCCUGUAA